This 4040-nucleotide long non-coding RNA is filed under the name Homo sapiens (human). RNAcentral describes it as "CD2BP2 divergent transcript, transcript variant 1 (CD2BP2-DT)". The record is from RNAcentral. Lineage: Eukaryota; Metazoa; Chordata; Mammalia; Primates; Hominidae.
GAGGUGGGAGAGCCAUCACUGGAGAGGUGGCAUUGGCGCCAGUACUCAGGCCAGAAGCCCCUUGUGCCCUGCUCUCAGAACACAGGCCCCAGACCAGGAAGGCAUUCUGCUAAAGAAGGGGACCCGAAACCUCAGCUACCAGCGCCGAUGGUUCAUCCUCCGAGGAAACCUCCUCUUCUACCUAGAACACUAGACCGACCAUGCACCCCUGAGCCUCAUCCUGUUAGAGAACUGCCAGGUGGAACCACACCUUAAGGCUGCAGAACCCUAUGCCUUUACCAUCCUGACCCCUGGGGUGGAGGGCACAGGUGGGCGGGCCUACAAGCUGGCUGCAGAAACCCAGGAAGAGCUGGAGACUUGGCUGUGGGCACUGGCUGGCGCGAGCUGGAGGCGGCUGGCUGGGCUGCUGUCCCCCCUCCCCCCCCACCAAAACCCAAUACUGGGAGCUGUGCCAGGCAACUGGCCAAGAACCCAUCUCAUCCCCAGAGGACAGUGGCUUUCUAGCCACUGUGAGUACCCCCUCCAGCUUCCAGGAGUUGCAUGAGCACUUUGGGAAGGAGAUCCGGGUGCUGCACGUGGUACAUAGAGAGCUCCAGGCAGCCAGUGACAAUGGAGACAGCAGAUCCCAGGCAAAGAUGGAGCAGGAGCUCAACCAGUGUCUGAUGAGUGACUGAGAGAUGGACCCAAAGCUAAGAGGUACCUACUUGCCAAGACAGCAGACUGCUUCAACAGAGACCCAGGUCCUGGCUCUGUCCCUCCCUCCCUCGUCCUUACCCCAUCCCCCCCUCAUCAAAUAACAAGGCAGAAAACAGGCCCAGGUACAACAGCAGGUUCUUUUCCAAUUCCUCAAAGCGCUGCAUGGGGUGGGGGCAGAGACAGAAGAGAAUGUAAACAUUGGGUUCCACCCCCUGGAGCUCAAGGGAAGACCCUUACCCAGAUAGGGACUAACUGGAGGGGUGGAAGGGAACAAGGUGAAAGGUAUGGGUCCUGGUGAGACAAAAGCAGGGGGGCCUGAGAACACAGAGCAAGGUGGGUUUGGAGGGAGCACAGCAGGGUGCAGGAAGGGAGAUGGGGGACAUUUCCUAUUCCAGUGCAUGUCCCCUUAAAUAAACUGGGUACAGGAGCAUUAUGGAAGGAGAACCAAAGGACAGAAGACAAAGCGAGCACCCCCACCCCAGGCCAACGCCAUCCUCUGUACACAAUUACAACACAGGUCCAGAAUGAGAGCCCUGGCCAGGAAGUGGGGGAGACAGGGAGGGCUGAAGACAGGGAAAAGGAAGCCAGCUCCACCUCAUGGUAAGGGGAGCUAUGGAGUGUAAGAAUCUGAAACUGCUGACUCCCAUCACCAGGAGUCACCCCUGGGAUGACAACGGGCCAUUCAGGACAGCACCUAGGAGGGGACCCAGAGGGAACUGGGGCAGGAGCGACAGAGACCCCAGCUGAGCCUCAUGGGAGAUGAGAGGCUCCAGACUCAUUUGCAGCUGCCCAUCUGUCCUGCCCGUGUAGGGAUCAGCAGCUGGCGAGGAGAUGGGGAACCAAGCCACUUUCCCCAGCAAGGGACAGCCUGACAAGGUGCUAGGGGGUGGCACCUUGGGCCAGGCCUGUUCUUGGCUGAGGGAAAGAGGGGGGCCAUGCAGUCCAGCCCCAGGGCAGAGGUCAGAAGUAAGCGUCCUGCCGGGCCUCGGCUGAGGGCCUGUCCCCACCAUCAUGGGGGCCUGGGGGCCCAUCUGCCUUUCGACGCAGCGAAAGCUUCCGGCCUUGAGCCUUCUUCUCCUGCUUCUGCCGCUCCUUCUCCUGCUUCUCUCGCUCCUUUUCCUGCUUCUCUCGCUCUUUCUCCUGCUUCUGCCGCUCCUUCUCCCGCUCCUUCUCCUGUUUCUGCCGCUCCUUCUCCUGUUUCUGCCGCUCCUUCUCCUGCUUCCGGGUCUCCUUGCUGGAACCCAAGGGGGUGCUAUUGCCAGUGGGUGAGGGAAGGGAUGGAUGCAGUCCCUCAGCAGUGACCACAGGCCCUGGGGCAGGCCCAGCACUGGCUCUGCGGACGGGGGGCGGCGGGGACGGGGCCCCUCCAGCUGCCCGGGAGCCUCGGCUCUUGAGGCCAGGGAGGCUGAGGAGGCUGGAGGAGGGGCCCAGGGGUGGCUGUUGCCGCCGGCGCUCCUCGUGGAUGGCCCGGGACCCAUGCAGUCGCCGUGAGGGCCGAUACUGCAGCUCCCCCCGCGUUUCCCGCCACUUCUUGAGCUGGGCUGCAUUCUCCCGCUCAAUCAGUGCUUCUGUCACCGGCAGAUUGGUCACCUGCACAGAGAGGAAAUGCGUACCAGAAUGGAGCUGAGGGUGGGAGCGGGCUGAGGCAGGCAGGGGCUGCGUUGAGGGCACAGGCCUACCUCAUGCACCAGGAAGUCUUCCUGCAUGCACUGCUGGGGCAGGUUACGCAGCUGCUCCAUGGUCUCAUACAUGCCUUGGCAGGAGCGCAGCUUCUCCACUGAGCCCAGCGUGUGGCGCAGCAGGACCAGGGCCACCCGGAAGAUGAUCUUAACGCCUGCAGGGGUGGAGAGUAGAGAGCAUGGGGUGGUCAGACCCAAGAUCUCAGCCUGUCCUGAUCAGGAUAGACUCACAGCCCCCAUCCCCAUCUACUGCCAAUCUCAGAUGAGGAAACUGAGGCCCUGUGAAAGUACAUGAGCUGCUAUCAGUCUCAGGAUCUUGGCAGGGAGAGCAGGCUCUGGGUUGGUGGCAGAACUAAAAUCAGGCCUGUUUCUCCAGCCCCCAGCUGCUUAUGGUGAAACCUCCACCCAACAAGUACCUUUUGUCCAUGGACCACCAGAAAUAUGACAGAACCCCUGGUAGCCACCACAGAAACCCCAGCCCCUCAUGGCCUGGAGGGCCACAGAAGUACCUUCACAGAAAAACAUGUCCCAGACACGCAGCACCGACGCCCAGGGCAGGGUGCGGGCGAAGAUGCACAUGAACCACUCCGUCAUGUAGAGCACAGGGUCAAUGCGCUGCCGCCGCAGGUGGCGAUGCGCCAGCGGGGAGGCCCGGCGCAGGAGUGCAAAAAAGAUCUCCCCGUCCAGCUGAAUGGCCUCCUGCAGGUGGGACAAGCCAUGAGAAGAGGGCCAAGUCAGCUGUGCCCCCAUCAGGGGAGAACUGGCCGGCCCUGUGGGCAGAAGCCGGGAAGGCCAGGGUGGGGCAAGGCAAGGACCUGCCUGCAGCCUGGAGGAAACGCCACAGCCCCGGAUGCACCCAGCCUCCAGACACUCACCAGCCCUGCACUGUAGUAACCUGGGAGGUACUUGUCGCAGAUCUGCACCAGGCACCAAAAGGCUUGCUGAGAAGAGCAAGAACAAGGAGGAGGGGUGGGGCCUGAGAAGCAGGGAGCAGGGAGCUCCCCCAUCACCACUGUAGGGUGAGAUCCCCCCUGCCCCUCCCGGCCCAGGACCAGGGCGCUGACCUCCGCAGGCAUGUGCAUGAGCAGGACCGCAGCCACGGGGGCCUGGGCCUGGCAGUAACCCUCGUCAGGCCGGUAGAUGGUGUAGGCCUUCAGGAUUCGGUACAGGUCCUGUUGCCUGUGGGGGUUGGGGAAGACUGUGAGGGCAGUCACGGGCUGAGAGCUCUGUCCCCAAACCCAGUUCCAGAUUCGUCCCAGAGUUUAUCACCAGGCUCCUCCAUCCACCUGCCCAGUCCUGCUGAGCGAGCUUCAGCUAAAGGCUCAGCCCACAGCAGAGCACUCCAGGCCCCGGGGCUCCGCCUUUGGCUACAUACUCCACAUGCUCCUGGCCAUCCCAGCACAGGCUGCACCCUCGCCCUCCUUCCUCAGCCACAUCCCAGAAACCUUCCAGGUCAUUUUCUCCAGGAAGCUUUCCACAGCUGCAGCAUCAGCCCUCCUCUAGCACUAAAUGUCUUUGUCACCCCAAAGCAGUAGCUCCCCAGGGCAGGGCCUGCCUUAUCGGUCUCACUGGAUUUCAUGGUUCUUGGGGAAGGCUUGGAAGCCAGCUGUGCCUCAGCCCUUUCUCCUGUCUCUGCAUCCAAAAGAAUAAAAUCUGUACCCUAGA